This 535-nucleotide long non-coding RNA is filed under the name Podarcis lilfordi (Lilford's wall lizard). The record is from RNAcentral. Lineage: Eukaryota; Metazoa; Chordata; Lepidosauria; Squamata; Lacertidae.
CUUCAGUAAUUUCUUUGGGUCCUCAAUUCUCCAAUUAUAAAUUUUAAAAUGUUGUGGAACUUACAUUUCAUCAUGAUUAUAAGCACAUUACCAUGUAAGUCAAUUGUUUUGUAUCUUUAUCAUAUGUACUAGUGGUGUGGGGAGUUAUUUCCACAUUUGGUCACUCUUGACAUCCUUGUUUUUGUGUGUUUGCUUUUAAUUGCACACAGUUAAGCAGUGUGUCUCUUCUCUCUGCAGGGGCCAAUUCACAGAUUGUCCUCACUCAGUCAGGCCCAGAAAUGAAAAAGCCUGGAGAAUCUGUGAGGUUAACCUGUGCCACGAAAGGUUUUGAUCUUAGCAGCUAUUGGAUGUACUGGGUCCGGCAGUCUCCAGGAAAAGGGCUGGAAUGGCUGGUUUACUAUUACACCCCAUCCAGCAACUACUACUCCCCAACCAUCCAAGGGCGUUUCACUGCCUCCAAGGACAGCACCAACCUUUAUCUUCAAAUGAACACCCUGAAGCCAGAAGACACUGCCGUCUAUUACUGUGCCAGAGA